RNAcentral lists this ribosomal RNA (289 nucleotides) under Pseudictyota dubia. RNAcentral describes it as "partial Eukaryotic large subunit ribosomal RNA". It matches the Rfam family "Eukaryotic large subunit ribosomal RNA", at positions 1938 to 2174 of the family's 3401-position model. The record is from RNAcentral. Lineage: Eukaryota; Bacillariophyta; Thalassiosirophyceae; Eupodiscales; Odontellaceae.
GGGAAAAGGAUUGGCUCUGAGGGUCGGGCCUAGGGGUCCCCGUGGGCCCGUUCUGCCUUGUUCGCCUGUGGCCUGCGGCUGGCCCCCCUCGUGGGGGCUGCUGCGGACGCGGUGGACGGCGGUUCGGCGUUUUCCUGCGGGGGAUGGUUCCUGGGGGAGGGCAGGGUUCUCCCUGUUCUUUUCUGGGGUUUCAGCCUUUUCCCUAGCGCAUUGAACGACCAGCUCAGAACUGGAGCGGACAAGGGAAAUCCGACUGUUUAAUUAAAACAAGCAUUGCGAGGGCCAGAGA